CAAUAGCGUAUAUUAAAGUUGUUGCGGUUAAAAGCUCGUAGUUGGAUUUCUGUUGAGAGUGGUCGGUCUAUUCUUCGAAUUAGUAUCUGAUUCAGUCUCGGCAUCCUCUUGGAGCACGUUUGACGCUUCACUGCAGCAAACGGUAUCCAAGACUUUUACUUUGAGGAAAUUAGAGUGUUCACGGCAGGCAAUCGCUUUGAAUACAUUAGCAUGGGAUAAUAAUUUAGGAUCUUGAUUCUAUUUGUUGGUUCAUAGAACUGAGAUAAUGAUUAAUAGGGAUAAUUGGGGCGAUUCGUAUUAACGCGUCAGGAGGUGAAAUUCUUGGAUUGCGUUACGACGGACUACUGCGAAAGCAUUUGCCAAGGAUGUUUUCAUUGAUCAAGAACGAAAGUUAGGGGAUCGAAGACGAUUAGAU
RNAcentral lists this ribosomal RNA (415 nucleotides) under uncultured eukaryote. RNAcentral describes it as "SSU rRNA". It matches the Rfam family "Eukaryotic small subunit ribosomal RNA", at positions 592 to 1013 of the family's 1831-position model. The record is from RNAcentral.